GAUGAAGAACGCAGCGAAAUGCGAUAAGUAAUGUGAAUUGCAGAAUUCAGUGAAUCAUCGAAUCUUUGAACGCACAUUGCGCCCGGCAGUACUCUGCCGGGCAUGCUUGUUCGAGCGUCAUUUCAACCCUCAAGCCCUGCUUGGUGUUGGGGUCCCACGGCCGCCGUGGGCCCUGAAAGGAAGUGGCGGGCUCGCUACAACUCCGAGCGUAGUAAUUCAUUAUCUCGCUUAGGGCGUUGGGCGGCGCUCCUGCCGUUAAAGAACCAUCUUUAACUCAAGGUUGACCUCGGAUCAGGUAGGAAUACCCGCUGAACUUAAGCAUAUCAAUAAGCGGAGGA
Molecule: unclassified non-coding RNA, 338 nt
Filed under: soil metagenome
Description: partial contains 5.8S ribosomal RNA, internal transcribed spacer 2, and large subunit ribosomal RNA
Rfam family: 5.8S ribosomal RNA (bases 1-120)
Source: RNAcentral